This is a long non-coding RNA of Bubalus bubalis (water buffalo), 670 nucleotides long. RefSeq lists it as uncharacterized. The transcript is spliced from 3 exons. The record is from RefSeq and is a predicted model, not a curated record. NCBI's taxonomy places the organism in Eukaryota, Metazoa, Chordata, Mammalia, Artiodactyla, Bovidae.
UCCCUCCGGCCACACCGCCGGGAAGGGCUUGGAAUUUAAUCCUCCGCAUUCCAUUCUGGGUUCCUGUGACAUAAUAAGGCCCAAGGAGGGAUCUCGAGUGACUGGUCAGCAGAAGCCUCAGCGGGAUUUUCUAUAGAUAGCCAGGGCGUGUCUCGGGCUCGGUCCUUUCUGCGGGAGGAAAGUGCUUCCCCGCCGGGCUGGGCAGCGCCCUGUGCGGCAGAGGACUGAAAGCAGGGUCUGCCUGGAAGAAUAUCCCCCUCCUGCCCCACCAGGAGAGGAAGAGGAGUUCCUCAAACUCGAAAGACGGGGUCCAUGCAGGUCCCAUUUUCCCCUAAAAUCUGUUAUCGUGCUACUUUGUCCCUGGCAUCGAGAAGGGCUUCUUGGUAGAUGUAAACAGAGCGCCUGCCUAUUCCAAACGAGCAGCAUUCCAGUCAAGAGGAAGAGUCUCAGAGGCAACUGGAGUGGGAAAGGGGCUGCAGAAAAUGGAUUCCCCUCUUUUUAGUGACCCAUUGUUUGUGAUUGACACCAUUAUACACCCCAGAAGGUCAAGUACGGACUUUACAUGAAAUUAUUCCAAAAACAUACCAAUAUAAAAGAUGCUACAUAAAAUAGCCACUGGACACUCUAAGAUUGUAAUCACUAAAGAGGCUGAAUCUUUGCUUGGUCUGCU